This 497-nucleotide ribosomal RNA is filed under the name uncultured bacterium. RNAcentral's name for it is "partial 16S ribosomal RNA". It matches the Rfam family "Bacterial small subunit ribosomal RNA", at positions 28 to 507 of the family's 1533-position model. The record is from RNAcentral.
GAUGAACGCUGGCGGCGUGCCUAAUACAUGCAAGUCGAGCGAACAGACGAGGAGCUUGCUCCUCUGACGUUAGCGGCGGACGGGUGAGUAACACGUGGAUAACCUACCUAUAAGACUGGGAUAACUUCGGGAAGCCGGAGCUAAUACCGGAUAAUAUAUUGAACCGCAUGGUUCAAUAGUGAAAGACGGUUUUGCUGUCACUUAUAGAUGGAUCCGCGCCGCAUUAGCUAGUUGGUAAGGUAACGGCUUACCAAGGCGACGAUGCGUAGCCGACCUGAGAGGGUGAUCGGCCACACUGGAACUGAGACACGGUCCAGACUCCUACGGGAGGCAGCAGUAGGGAAUCUUCCGCGAUGGGCGAAAGCCUGACGGAGCAACGCCGCGUGAGUGAUGAAGGUCUUCGGAUCGUAAAACUCUGUUAUUAGGGAAGAACAAAUGUGUAAGUAACUAUGCACGUCUUGACGGUACCUAAUCAGAAAGCCACGGCUAACUACGUG